GACAGAGGGUGCAAACGUUGCUCGGAAUUACUGGGCGUAAAGGGCGUGUAGGCGGGAAGGCAAGUCGGGCGUGAAAGCCCCAGGCUCAACCUGGGAACUGCACUCGAAACUGCCUUUCUUGAGUGCCGGAGAGGAAAGCGGAAUUCCUGGUGUAGAGGUGAAAUUCGUAGAUAUCAGGAGGAACACCAGUGGCGAAGGCGGCUUUCUGGA
RNAcentral lists this ribosomal RNA (210 nucleotides) under uncultured bacterium. RNAcentral's name for it is "partial 16S ribosomal RNA". It matches the Rfam family "Bacterial small subunit ribosomal RNA", at positions 524 to 733 of the family's 1533-position model. The record is from RNAcentral.